AUGGAGGGCCUUGUCAGCUGCCAAGACCAGUUCGGUCACAGACACCCCAACCCAGGCGGCACUGAAGGAAUUAAGAAACAGACACAAAGAGCAAAAGGUGGGGCAUCGGGGGCUUCAGCCUUCCCAGCUGAGAGCCUUGAACAGAGUUUGACCCACAUAUUUAUUGACAGCAAGCAAGUGAUAAUCAUCAUUACUGCAGUUUAUAGAUUAACUAAAAUCAUUCUUCACAGGAACAAAGCAUUCUUUCCUAGUGGCGAUAAACAGGCUCUGAUGCAUAUGUCUACUGCAACUGGAACACAUUUUCAGGGCACCAGUUCUGGAAUGCCUUUAACUGGUCUUCCACCCAGGAAGGGUCAGAAAAGAGCAAGCAGAUAUGACUCGCUAGCUCUCCCCGUGACACACGCUCACACCGGGCUCGAGGUGGCGGCGGCGGCAGCGGCUGGCACUCCGACUCCUGGGUUGAGGAUGCGUUCUCCGUGGGGGCGGCGGAACUGCCGGCGGGGACCUCUGGGAAGGCGGGGACGAGGAUGAGAACGUCAAAGCUAACUGGGAUGACGAUGAUGAUUAAAAAAAAAAAAAAAAAAAGAAGGAAGGAAAACAAAAGGUAAAAAUUUCGGAAAAGAAAAAAAUAGCAGAGAAGAUAAAAGAUAAAAGAGAAAGAACAGCAACAGAAGAAAAGGCAAGAAGAAAUUAAAAAGAAGUUACAAGAACCUGAAGUGCCAACACAAGAAGAACAAUUAGCAGAUAAACUGCGGCUAAAGAAAUUACAGGAAGAGUCCGACCUCGAAUUAGCAAAGGUGUUAAUAAUAGUUUAUGGAGUAGAUGCUAUGAACCCAUCUUCAAGAGAUGAUUUUACAGAGUUUGGAACAUUACUAAGAGAUAAAAUUACACAAUAUGAAAAGUCACUAUAUUAUGCCAGUUUUUUGGAAGUCUUAGUUCGAGAUGUGUGUAUUUCAUUGGAAACUGAUGAUUUGAAAAAGAUUACCAAUUCACUGACUGUGCUUUGCAGUGAAAAACAGAAGCAAGCAAAGCAAAGCCAAUAAGAAGAAAGGUGUGGUUUCUGGAGGGGGGUUAAAAGCCACCAUGAAAGAUGAUCUGGCAGAUUAUGGUGGUUACAAUGGAGGAUAUGUACAAGACUAUGAAGACUUCAUGUGACAUUUUUAUCUUCUCCUGGUGUCAUCUUUAUGUUGCCCACAAUCCCUUGAACAUGUAGCACAACAUCCUUUCUUUUCAGUUCUGCCAAAUGCUACAAUCAGAAGUGCAGUAUCUUUUGUGCUUAUUAUUUAACCCCUUGACACUUUGGUGCUAAUGUGCAAAUAAGGGAACUUGGAUCUUGCUGCCAAGGGGUUAAAAUUGGGAACCUCAGUUGCUACUAAAUCAUAGUUCAAAACAAACCUCAUAAUGUUGUCAUUGUUGCUAUCUGAUUUCAUAGCAGCAGUCACUAAAUUGGAAAAAUGUUGCAACAUGACAGAAAAAAAAAUGUGUAGUAUUUACCAGCACCAUUCAGUAAUACAGCCUUAACCAUACCUCCUUGAACUACUUCAUAACUUGUCAAGAAAGGCAGUUUGCAGCAAGGGCAUGUGGUGUGCACCUAGUAGUAAAAUUGCUUUGUCUUAAAAUUGAACAUAAGGAUAUUAAAAAUACAUUGUGAAGAAGACUGCUUAUCUCUGAGUGAAGAUACUGCGGCUGAAAAGCAUUAGUUUGAUAUAAAAUUUAAAUGACCAAAACCCUCCAACUUUGAAGCUAAAAAAGGUAAACCUCUCCAUUAUUGCAUUACAUGUUGUGGAAUCUCUUGAGUGCAAAGACUGUCUAAUUAUUUAUCAGGCUAUUUCUACUGAUGAAGUGCUUCAGAUGGGAGAGGGAAACUCUUUACCUGUUUUUAUUUGCCUGAUUUAAAUGUCUGAGAAACAAAUCUUCGUUCUCUUAGGCUGCAAUGGAACAACUUUACCAGGGUUUUGGCAUUUCCUUUCCUUUAUAAAACAUGCUUAGCAAACUGUACCAGUUAACUACAGUUUGGUAAAUUGUUAACAAUUAUGACAUCUGCAGUGUUUUAUAAAGCAGCUAAUUUAAUAAAAUCACUAUUGUGAGG
This is an RNA transcript of Sapajus apella (tufted capuchin), 2089 nucleotides long. It is a transcript of the gene named eukaryotic translation initiation factor 3 subunit J-like, with no coding region annotated. NCBI's taxonomy places the organism in Eukaryota, Metazoa, Chordata, Mammalia, Primates, Cebidae. The record is from RefSeq and is a predicted model, not a curated record. The transcript has 2 exons.